Molecule: long non-coding RNA, 405 nt
Organism: Carassius gibelio (silver crucian carp)
Lineage: Eukaryota; Metazoa; Chordata; Actinopteri; Cypriniformes; Cyprinidae
Exons: 3
Source: RefSeq, a predicted model, not a curated record
AAACACUUUAGCUCGCUGAACUGCAGACUUUAGCAAGCUGCUGCAGGCUCACUGCCUCCCACCAAACAACACAACAGCUGAGGAUGUUUUUUCAGCUUUGCAUCUACAGAUCCAGUUGGAGAUGAAUCAGUUGGGCUGACUAGUUUGAGCUUGCAAUGCGGUUUUCCCUUUGCGCUUCACUUUUCUGCGCAUCUCUCUUUGUGGCACUGUUUUGACCUGGGGGUGGAGUCAAGAGACGGGGGUGUAUAACAACAUGCUUCCCUGGAAGUGACGUCAUUGGCCAGAGACGCAGCUCACUGAUCCAGGUUCUCCUUCAUAGGAUAAAAGCACCUUGUAGCAAAGCAGCUAAAGAGACAGGCAUGUCUUAACUUGGACCUUCAUAUGCUUCUGCUAAGAGGAGACAAG